GAGGCAUAGCUCAGUUGGUUAGAGCGUUGCGUUCACAUCGCAAAGGUCGAGGGUUCGAGUCCCCCUGCCUC
Molecule: transfer RNA, 71 nt
Filed under: bovine gut metagenome
Rfam family: tRNA
About the family: Transfer RNA (tRNA) molecules are approximately 80 nucleotides in length. Their secondary structure includes four short double-helical elements and three loops (D, anti-codon, and T loops). Further hydrogen bonds mediate the characteristic L-shaped molecular structure. tRNAs have two regions of fundamental functional importance: the anti-codon, which is responsible for specific mRNA codon recognition, and the 3' end, to which the tRNAs corresponding amino acid is attached (by aminoacyl-tRNA synthetases). tRNAs cope with the degeneracy of the genetic code in two manners: having more than one tRNA (with a specific anti-codon) for a particular amino acid; and 'wobble' base-pairing, i.e. permitting non-standard base-pairing at the 3rd anti-codon position.
Source: RNAcentral